GACGAACGCUGGCGGCGUGCUUAACACAUGCAAGUCGUACGGUAAGGCCCUUUCUGGGGUACACGCGUGGGGAACGGGCGAGUAACUCGUGAGUAACCUGCCCACCCCUUUGGGUUAACGCUAGGAAACUGGUGCUAAUACUGGAUAUGUGCUCCUGCCGCCUGGUGGGGGUUGGAAAGCACCGGGGGUUGUGUAUGGAUUCGCGGCCUUUCAGCUUGUUGGUGGGGUGGUGGCCUACCUAGGCGGCGACGGGUAGGCGGCCUGAGGGGGUGUGCGGCCCAAAUGGGACUGGGAAAAGGCCCAGACCCCCACGGGGAGGAACAAGUGGGAAAAUUGCACAAAUGGCGGGAGCCCGAUGCAACAACGCCGCGGGCGGGAUGACGGCCUUCGGGUUGUAAACCACGUUCAGCAGGGACGAAGCUGUUUGUGACGGUACCUGCAGAAGAAGCACCGGCUAACUACGUG
This 465-nucleotide ribosomal RNA is filed under the name uncultured bacterium. RNAcentral's name for it is "partial 16S ribosomal RNA". It matches the Rfam family "Bacterial small subunit ribosomal RNA", at positions 28 to 507 of the family's 1533-position model. The record is from RNAcentral.